RNAcentral lists this long non-coding RNA (3605 nucleotides) under Hordeum vulgare. RNAcentral describes it as "long non-coding RNA (HVUL_LNC015612)". The record is from RNAcentral. Lineage: Eukaryota; Viridiplantae; Streptophyta; Magnoliopsida; Poales; Poaceae.
ACAACACAAUAUAACAAUAUAUUCAAUCACCAUGUAGAAGAGUAGGGUCCGAAUAUGGACGAAAAGAAACGAUAAAAGAACGACGUCCAUCCUUGCUAUCCCACACUGUCGUCCUGGAACCCAUCCUAGAUCGAUGAAGAAGAAGAAGAAGAGGAAACUCCAAAUAUCACAAUCAUCACGCUCACGUCAAAGUAUUGCUUUACUUGUACCUACAACUGUUUUUGUAGUAAUCUAUGAGCCACAAGGACUCAUCAAUCUCAAUUCCAAAGGUAUCAAGACUAGCAAAGUUUAAUGGGUGAGAUAUGGUUAAGUGGUGAGGAUGCAACAAACAACUAAGCUUUUUUUGAGUGGCUAACUUACGAGUACGAGAUUAAAACGUGGGGAUCAUAAAUGCAUAUCGGACGAGAACUAAUAGUGAUCACGAACUGAUAUUGAACACCUACUUACGUCAAACAUAGCCCCAUUGUGUCCUCUUCCGAAUAAAGAACUCCGAGAAGAGACAGUCAUGGCUACGCACACAAUUGGCAAUUUAAUUGACUUUACUUCAAGUUAUCUAGAACCGGGUGUUAAAUAAAGUUUCCAAGUUGCCACAUAAUCGUGGGCACGGCUUUCCGAAAGAUUUAAUCCUUCAGGUGUGCUCCAACUAGUCCAUCACAAACUACUACACGCUGCAUCAAAAACCUCGUCAGCGGAAAACCCAUGAUCUCCUCAGAUUCCUGGUGGAAAACCUUAACCUCGAGAUAGCCCAAAGUAUCCACGCAAACCUCGCACAAGACGUUCGAGAAAGGUAAAACAAAUCCAGCAAGGCCGCACGACAUGUCGAAGAUCCCAAUAGGAGCCGCAUAUGUUCUUCUUCGGACACGACGGAUAAGCGAUGCGUACGGGUGCGUGAUAGAAAUCACCCAAGUUUCCCUAGGUUGGCCCCGCAUAGUGCUCUAGUUUGGACCAACACUCAUGACGAGCACUAGCCCAGGGGUUGAUUAAUUAUCCACGAGUUAAUUACUGGCUAUGCGGUUCAUUAGUUAUUAGGCAAAUAUGGUACCAAUGUUGGGCCUUGCCAGCCAAGUUUUAUCCCAAAACUAAAAUCAAGGGGGUCCCCAUAACAACCCCAAGCAUGUUAGGAGCGCUCAUUUAUGGAACAUAACACCGGUAGCCGAAACUAAGGCAGCAAAGGUGGAACAAAACACCAGGCUAGAAGGCCAAGCCUUCAACCUUUUACCAAAUAUAUAGGUGCAUUAAAUUAAUUAGCAAUAAUAUGAUGAUAUAACAAGGAACCCAUGUUUUCACAUGGAAGCAACUGCACCUGGAACUAGCAAUGCUAUAAGAAGGCUGAGUGAGCUGUAACAUAGCCAAACAAGGGUUUGCUUGGCUGUGGCAGGGUUAGAGGAUUUUCAUGGCAAUGUUGGGAGGCUGCAUUUAUGUGGGGGCAGCAAGACAUAGCGAAAGAAACGAGACAACUAGCAUGGCAAUGAUAGUAAUGGUAACUAGAGAAAUGAUCAUCUUUCCUGUGAUCCCGCUAGGAAGAAGAACGAAUCCGCGAAGCAAACGAACCAACAGAGUCGAACGAAUCCUUAAGUUCCGACACGCUUGCGGAACUCUAUCGAAAAGAAGCAAUCUGAAAACAAGAAUCAACACACGAUAUUCACCACAACGUAUGGAUGCCAUGAUGAACAAACACAUAUGAUGCAUGUCUAGUUUAAUUAUGCAAGGCAUGGCACCUCACAACAAUCGAAUACUACACAUUAAGUGAAGCUCAAUAUGCAACGAGUUGCAUAUUAACAAAACUUCAUGUUCAUAUAUUUAGUUCACUCUAUUUUAGGUACUCAUCAAUAUUAAAUGUUGUCUAAACAUUACAAGAGGUGAAGCACAAAUAAUCUACACUAUCUAGGCAUUUUAAGUGAGGUCGGAAACAACAUAUAGCAUCUCCAAAAUGACUCCAUGUGCUAAUUUAAAAAUCUGCCCAGAUCUAUACUACAGAUUUUAUAUUUGUUAAACAACAAAGUAAAGUGGGCCAUGUGAUUCUACUUGUCAUUCCAGUCGAUUUACAUAUAUCGAUCAUCUAAAACGGAGCUACAAUUUAAAAGAUAUGAGCAACACAAGAUAAUAUGGCAUGCAUGCAAAACGUAUGCAAAUGACAGCCACAAUAUAUUAAAACUUGGAUGCACAAGAUAUUAUGAAACUACCUAAAAUUCUAAGCAAGUUUAAAUGAGGCCGGAACAACAAAUAACAAUUCCGGAAAGUCCCCAGAUUUCGAAUUUGCUACAGAUCUGCCUAAGCACAAUUUUAGAGUUGUUAAACAGGAAAAUAAAUCCUACCAUGUUAUUCUGCACAUUUUUCUACCGAAGUUAUAUAUGUGGAUCAUUUUAAUCUGAGCUACAGUUGAUUAAUUAUGAGACAAACCGUUCUAACACGGCAUCAGCCCAAAUUAAAUUAAAACAAGAAUUUAUACAUUUUGAACACAUGUGAGAGUUUGAUAUUGUGAAACUACACAAAAUUGUAAGCACUUUUCAUGUAUGAAGUUUUAAAUCCGAUGCACGGUUAAUUUGCUAUGAAUUAAAUCGUUUUAAAUAUGGCAUCACGCAAAAAAUGCAAACAUCACUUUUAAACAGUUUUAACAUGCGUGAAAGUGGAAUAUUAUGAAUCCACACAAAAUUCUGGACAUCUCACAUAUAUAAUUUAUUUUCAUCCGAUGCAUGAUUAAAUAAUUAUUAUUAUUUUUUGGACAUAUGCACUUUUCUGAAAUUAUAAAAUGUCAUGAGAAAUAGCUAAAUUCAUGGGAGCAGGAAAACAAAUGUAUACAUGCUGAAUUUGACUGAACUAGGCCAACACAGAGCUAGGCACAAUAUAACAAAUGUCACACUAGGCGACAUACACGCAAGGGGGGGGGAGCUCACCAAGUGGUCUUAGCCUAGGUUGAGGCACAGGACCGACUGGGCCGGCUGGGGCGACUGCUGGGCCUGGCGCGUGGAGAGGCAGCCCAGCCGACGCGGAGAAUUCCACACACGGGGGCCGGGGUCAUGGACGUUGACCUCGCCUCCUCGAUCUCGAGCAGCCUAUGCGCAGCGGCGGUGGGACUCGCCCAGAUCUCGGUCGGGGCUCUAACGAGUGGAGGUGGCCGGAGGAGGCUCAUCCGGGGGCGUUGCCUCAGAUCUCCACGUAUCCUCGCGGCAACGGCAACGUAAGGCGAGCCUCGCGGGCUGGGAUGGCAUGAGCAACUGGCGGGGGGCUUAGGUCGCAGCUGAGCUGCGUGUGAGGCGCAGCGAGCGGUAGUGGGGUGCAGGGCCCGAAGCGGCGGAUUUUUGUCGGCGGGCUAUUGGAGGGGAGCGUGAGGGGAGGCUGCUUGGCGAGCUCACGACGCGGCAGCGAUGAGACUGGUAGUGGGGAGGCACAGCACGUGGGUGCGGUGCACCGCGACGGCCAAACCGGGCCUCGGAAGGCUGCGCCUCGGCCUCGGCGAGCCGGGGCUAGCUGAGGUGGGGAGCGGCUAGUUGGCUGAUUCGGAUUGCCGUGGCCAUCCGAUCUAGCCACGGGCGGCCCUGAUCGUGCGUUGGCGAGCUGGUGGUUGUGGUUAGCUCAGGUGGCGGCUACGUAGUGGAGGGACAACA